AUAAAAAUACUUAAAACUAUUUCUAUAAUUACUGUGCAAUGCAGUGCUGAAAUUUUACAAUACAGUAUUAUAACAAAAUACUGUAAUGAUUACAUUACUGCCAAUAAAUUUAUUAUCAAUAGUUAAUUAUGGAUAAUAAAUUUAUCAUUAGUUGUAAAAGCAUUUUAAUAAGAUGUAAUUUAUGCAUAUACAGUAGAAGCCGCUUAUUGUAAUCACGGAUAUUGUUAUCAAACAUUUAAUGUUAUCAAAAUGGGCUGUUCCCAAAUCAUCCAUAUUAAAAUGCAUUAUACAAAACUCUGCUUAUAGUAAUCAGAAAUUCAGUUAUUGUCAUCAGAAUCGGUACUUUUCCAUUGUCCUGUAUCUUGAUUUCAACUCAAUUGUUUAUAUUCCAGAAGAAACAAUGAGGAUUUCUUUCGGACCUGAGGAGGAUGCUGUAAGCAUUGAAAGCGUUUGUCCGUGUAUUCCUGUAAAAAAAAUAAUA
RNAcentral lists this long non-coding RNA (481 nucleotides) under Androctonus crassicauda. The record is from RNAcentral. Lineage: Eukaryota; Metazoa; Arthropoda; Arachnida; Scorpiones; Buthidae.